GACGAACGCUGGCGGCGUGCUUAACACAUGCAAGUCGAACGGAAAGGCCCUUCGGGGUACUCGAGUGGCGAACGGGUGAGUAACACGUGGGUGAUCUGCCCUGCACUUUGUGAUAAGCCUGGGAAACUGGGUCUAAUACCGAAUAGGACCACGCGCUUCAUGGUGUGUGGUGGAAAGCUUUUGCGGUGUGGGAUGGGCCCGCGGCCUAUCAGCUUGCUGGUGGGGUAAUGGCCUACCAAGGCGACGACGGGUAGCCGGCCUGAGAGGGUGACCGGCCACACUGGGACUGAGAUACGGCCCAGACUCCUACGGGAGGCAGCAGUGGGGAAUACUGCACAAUGGGCGCAAGCCUGAUGCAGCGACGCCGCGUGAGGGAUGACGGCCUUCGGGUUGUAAACCUCUUUCACCAGGGACGAAGCGUAAGUGACGGUACCUGGAGAAGAAGCACCGGCCAACUACGUG
RNAcentral lists this ribosomal RNA (462 nucleotides) under uncultured bacterium. Its description in RNAcentral is "partial 16S ribosomal RNA". It matches the Rfam family "Bacterial small subunit ribosomal RNA", at positions 28 to 507 of the family's 1533-position model. The record is from RNAcentral.